Molecule: ribosomal RNA, 529 nt
Filed under: uncultured bacterium
Lineage: Bacteria
Description: bacterial SSU rRNA
Rfam family: Bacterial small subunit ribosomal RNA
Source: RNAcentral
UUGACAUACUAAGAACUUUCCAGAGAUGGAUUGGUGCCUUCGGGAACUUAGAUACAGGUGCUGCAUGGCUGUCGUCAGCUCGUGUCGUGAGAUGUUGGGUUAAGUCCCGCAACGAGCGCAACCCUUUUCCUUAUUUGCCAGCGGGUCAUGCCGGGAACUUUAAGGAUACUGCCAGUGACAAACUGGAGGAAGGCGGGGACGACGUCAAGUCAUCAUGGCCCUUACGGCCAGGGCUACACACGUGCUACAAUGGUCGGUACAAAGGGUCGCUACCUCGCGAGAGGAUGCUAAUCUCAAAAAGCCGAUCGUAGUCCGGAUCGCAGUCUGCAACUCGACUGCGUGAAGUCGGAAUCGCUAGUAAUCGCGGAUCAGAAUGCCGCGGUGAAUACGUUCCCGGGCCUUGUACACACCGCCCGUCACACCAUGGGAGCUUGUUGCACCAGAAGUAGGUAGUCUAACCGCAAGGAGGACGCUUACCACGGUGUGGCCGAUGACUGGGGUGAAGUCGUAACAAGGUAAGCGUAGAUGA